RNAcentral lists this ribosomal RNA (1236 nucleotides) under metagenome. Its description in RNAcentral is "bacterial LSU rRNA". It matches the Rfam family "Bacterial large subunit ribosomal RNA", at positions 1564 to 2810 of the family's 2925-position model. The record is from RNAcentral.
UGAAUACGAGACGCUAAGGCGUCGAAGUAGUGUAUGUCAUACUUCCAAGAAAAGCUUGCACUGUCAUAGAUAAAAAACGCCUGUACCAUAACCGACACAGGUGGGUAGGUAGAGUAUACUAAGGGGCGCGAGAUAACUCUCUCUAAGGAACUCGGCAAAAUAACUCCGUAACUUCGGGAGAAGGAGUGCCUUAUUAUUAAGGCUGCAAUAACAAGAUCCAAGCAACUGUUUAUCAAAAACACAGGUCUCCGCUAAGUCGUAAGACGAUGUAUGGGGGCUGACGCCUGCCCAGUGCCAGAAGGUUAAAGAAGUUGGUUAGCAUUUGCGAAGCUGAUAACUGAAGCCCUGGUGAACGGCGGCCGUAACGAUAACGGUCCUAAGGUAGCGAAAUUCCUUGUCGGGUAAGUUCCGACCCGCACGAAAGGCGUAAUGAUUUGGAUACUGUCUCGGAGAGGGGCUCGGUGAAAUAGACUUGUCUGUGAAGAUGCGGACUACCUGCACCAGGACAGAAAGACCCUAUGAAGCUUUACUGUAACUUGAAAUUGAAAUUGGACUUUAUUCGCGCAGCAUAGGUGGGAGGCGUUGAUUAUAAUCUUGUGGGAUUAUUGGAGCCAUCAGUGAGAUACCACUCUUGUAAUGUUAGAUUUCUAACUUUGAAUCAUUAUCUGGUCAAAGAACAGUUUCAGGCGGGCAGUUUGACUGGGGCGGUCGCCUCCUAAACGGUAACGGAGGCGUACAAAGGUUUCCUCUGAACGGUUAGAAAUCGUAUCUAGAGUGUAAAGGCAUAAGGAAGCUUGACUGUGAGACCUACAAGUCGAGCAGGGACGAAAGUCGGUCUUAGUGAUCUGACGGUACUGAGUGGAAAGGCCGUCACUCAACGGAUAAAAGUUACUCUAGGAUAACAGGCUGAUCUCCCCCAAGAGUUCACAUCGACGGGGAGGUUUGGCACCUCGAUGUCGGCUCAUCGCAUCCUGGGGCGGUAGUACGUCCCAAGAGUUGGGCUGUUCGCCCAUGAAAGCGGUACGCGAGCUGGGUUCAGAGCGUCGUGAGACAGUUCGGUCCAUAUCCGGUGUAGGCGUUAGAAUAUUGAGAGGAGCCUUCUUUAGUACGAGAGGACCGAGAAGGACAUACCUCUGGUGUACCAGUUAUCGUGCCAACGGUAAACGCUGGGUAGCUAUGUAUGGAGUGGAUAACCGCUGAAAGCAUCUAAGUGGGAAGCCCACCUCAAGAUAAGUA